AAAAACACACAAUUUCAAAUUUUGCUACAUAAAACCGAUUUGUGCUGCUCGGUCACAUAUGACCAUAAAGCACCCUUCUGUGUGUGCUGGUGAAUAAUCUCGCAACAGACACACCCUGUUAUGUCGUCGAGUAACCUAGACAUAUCCACGUCGUGUCAUUUCUCACAAAUAUAACCAGAUCGUCGUCCGUUUCAAGCAAUGCUGUGCUGAUAUAAAAGUGCAUGCAGUUUGCCUGAGAUGGAGUGGAAUAGUUUGCCUUUGGGCGAAUGGACAGAAUCC
Oncorhynchus keta (chum salmon) is the source of this 279-nucleotide long non-coding RNA. RefSeq lists it as uncharacterized. The record is from RefSeq and is a predicted model, not a curated record. The transcript has 3 exons. Lineage: Eukaryota; Metazoa; Chordata; Actinopteri; Salmoniformes; Salmonidae.